GUGGGGAAUAUUGGACAAUGGGCGAAAGCCUGAUCCAGCCAUGCCGCGUGUGUGAAGAAGGUCUUCGGAUUGUAAAGCACUUUAAGUUGGGAGGAAGGGUAGUAACCUAAUACGUUGCUACUUUGACGUUACCGACAGAAUAAGCACCGGCUAACUUCGUGCCAGCAGCCGCGGUAAUACGAAGGGUGCAAGCGUUAAUCGGAAUUACUGGGCGUAAAGCGCGCGUAGGUGGUUCAGUAAGUUGGAAGUGAAAUCCCCGGGCUCAACCUGGGAACUGCUUUCAAAACUGCUGAGCUAGAGUACGGUAGAGAGUGGUGGAAUUUCCUGUGUAGCGGUGAAAUGCGUAGAUAUAGGAAGGAACACCAGUGGCGAAGGCGACCACCUGGACUGAUACUGACACUGAGGUGCGAAAGCGUGGGGAGCAAACAGGAUUAGAUACCCUAGUAGUCC
This 450-nucleotide ribosomal RNA is filed under the name uncultured bacterium. RNAcentral describes it as "partial 16S ribosomal RNA". It matches the Rfam family "Bacterial small subunit ribosomal RNA", at positions 354 to 796 of the family's 1533-position model. The record is from RNAcentral.